RNAcentral lists this ribosomal RNA (482 nucleotides) under uncultured bacterium. RNAcentral's name for it is "partial 16S ribosomal RNA". It matches the Rfam family "Bacterial small subunit ribosomal RNA", at positions 30 to 507 of the family's 1533-position model. The record is from RNAcentral.
AUUGAACGCUGGCGGCAUGCCUUACACAUGCAAGUCGAACGGUAUCAGGUCUUCGGAUGCUGACGAGUGGCGAACGGGUGAGUAAUACAUCGGAACGUGCCCAGACGUGGGGGAUAACGAGGCGAAAGCUUUGCUAAUACCGCAUACGAUCUAAGGAUGAAAGCAGGGGACCGCAAGGCCUUGCGCGUUUGGAGCGGCCGAUGGCAGAUUAGGUAGUUGGUGGGAUAAAAGCUUACCAAGCCGACGAUCUGUAGCUGGUCUGAGAGGACGACCAGCCACACUGGGACUGAGACACGGCCCAGACUCCUACGGGAGGCAGCAGUGGGGAAUUUUGGACAAUGGGCGAAAGCCUGAUCCAGCAAUGCCGCGUGCAGGAUGAAGGCCUUCGGGUUGUAAACUGCUUUUGUACGGAACGAAAAGGCUCUGGCUAAUACCUGGGGCACAUGACGGUACCGUAAGAAUAAGCACCGGCUAACUACGUG